This is a small nucleolar RNA of Panicum hallii, 109 nucleotides long. NCBI's taxonomy places the organism in Eukaryota, Viridiplantae, Streptophyta, Magnoliopsida, Poales, Poaceae. The record is from RefSeq and is a predicted model, not a curated record.
AUGCCAUGGUGUGGGCAUGCUACAAUGUACUACUAGAGACAUUCCCAGGCUUCUAGGAUGGUUUCAUCCUGGAGUUGUUGAAAACUAGAAAUCCUCUUUCGUAGGGCAU